CCGCUCCAGCGCUGCGCUGUCGCGGGGGGGCCGCCUGCUGCAUCCCCAUGCCUGCGGCUGCAGAAACGCGCUCCCAGCACGCCUACGGCCAGCCAACACAAUGGAAACGCAGCCGUGAAGGACCAAUUCGUUUUAUUGUUGAGACAGCGCUACGGUACAACCGAGUGGCCCGGUGCGCCAGGCCGCCGCGCCAGGGCGGUCGGGGCAGCCCCCUCAGCGGCCCCGGCCGCGCGCACCCACAGCCGCCCGGGGAGCUCCGGGCCGGGACACGGGGCCGGGCCCGCCACGGUGCCGCUGCCCGCGGCCGGGCGGGCUCCGAGGCGCUGCGAGGCACCUUCUGCCGGCAGCGGGGAGGGGGCCGGGGGCCUGCCGAGAGCGGCGGGCAGUUUUCUGCAGGGCUUGACCUGAAAGGAAGCCAGGCUUAGGAACUCGUGCAGCUUUCCGCCCACGUGCAUGAAUGGUGGCCUGUAACAUUUUAAAAGGGUAAAGCUCAGGAAACAGGAAGUUUGCUCGGGCUGAAAUAGUCAAACCAUUCAUCGCCCUAUGGACCAUCUGCACUCUGGUCAUGGGGAACAUUGCUGGGUGCCACUUAAGGGCUGGUGCUCUUGAGUAUUAUCUCCAGUAUUUUUUAUAAAUUUACCACUGUAACUACAUGCUUUUAGAUCUCUCAAUGGAAAAAACAGCCCAUAUAAAGGGUUUAAUUUUCAGUGGCCUUUGUUUUACAAGUAUGCACUCUGACGGUCGUGUCAUGCCAGUGAAGAUCACCAUGGUAUCACAGCAGAGCCCCUCCUGCAUACAGAGAUGUGUGUUUGCUGUGCAUAAGCAUUACUCAACAUGGCAAGUGUCUGUGCAAAGGAAAAGCUGCUGUGCUUACUGCUUGUCUAAAACCAGGACAGGAUCAAGUAUGCAAUCCAACAAGGAAGGUCUUUAAAUUCCAACACAUCACUUCAUAUCCCACUUUUUGCAAAAUGAAAAUCUGUGUUCAGGUUUUGGCAGUCUGACUCAAGACCAUAUUUCUGAAAUCACAGACUUUAAUGGAAACACAAAGUUGAUACACAAAACAACAUCUGAAAACAGAUCUGAAACAUCUAAAUUGGACUGUAAGUGACAGGAGCAAGCUUUGGUAGAAUUGGAUUAUUUAGAAUAACCAUCACAACGCUAACAACGAGUCACUCGGGAUUUACAUCCCAACAUUUGUAGCAAACAAAAGGUUACCCUUAACCAUGGUAGAUUACAAAUAAAGACAAAAGUAGUGCUGAUCAUUUACUCUUCCACAUAGAACAUGACUCACAGUCUGAUUGUUCUCCCAAAUACCAAGUCACUGUUGUAAGGACAACAUUUUUAUGCCUUAACAAAUUCCAAUGACAUUUUCCUUGUGUAGUUUCAACAGCAGAGUUUUAGACCAAUUUUGCUGUGCAAGUGUUAUUUAUUUGUGACUUUCACGGUAAUAGGUUUAUUUGGAAUUAUGUUAUGGCAGUGUCCUGUGCAUGGCAGUCUCUCCAAUUUGGAGCUGAGAGGAGGUCUCCAACCCACUUAACAAGACUGCAAACAAAAUCUCUGUACUUGAAUAUCUGCAAAAGGUGUGCUGAGGCAGAGGACCUCCUGUGGCAGAGCUGCAGGAGGUGGUGAGAAGGCUACAUAACUUCAGGAAGGCUGGGAAGGAGUUGGAUGGCUGGUUCCAAGGGCAGCCUGCAGUAUGCCACACCCAAAGAGGCAAAAACUCCCCCACUAUGCACACACAGAAGGGAGGAGGGGGGUCAGUAAGGCAGAACAGUGGACACUUGAAAUGACAAGGACCUGCUGGAGGAAGAGACUUCCCUGAAGCCUGAGGUGCCCCUGCAGAACCACUUCUGCACUCUGCAAGCUGGAGAGGGAGGGCCCAUCACAUCAGGAGAGAGGCUGGAGCUGAGUAAGGCAGCCCCAUCUGCUCCCUGUGUAACAACCAGCACAACUAAGCAAAGGUGACAGGUGAGAGUAGCAGGGGACUCUCCUCUGAGAGGCACGGAGAGAGCCACUUGUCAGCCUGAUUACCAGAGAGCUGUACCAGGGAUGUCACCCAAAGCAUCAUACCAAGCUUCAUACUGUCUCCUGACCAUUGUCGGCUGCUGCUGUUUCAUGUGUGCACCAGGGAUACAGCCAGGAGUGGUCUGAGGAGGACCAAGGAGAUUACAGAUCCCUGGGAGUGGUGGUGAGGGACUCAGGUGCCGGCAGCUUUUUCAUCAGUCCUCCCUGUCAAAGGGAAGGGCUUUGAAAGGGCCAGGUGAAUCUGGCAAAUCAGCAAAUGGUUAGGGGUCUAGUGCCACAACCAAGGGUCUGGCUACUCCUGGGGACUCACACUGAAAACAUGGGCUGACAGAGUCUGAUGGAGGCCCAUCUGCCUGAGAACGGGCAGAGUAUCUCUGGUCACAGGCUUGCCCAGCUGGUGAAGAAGGCAUUAAAUUGAAGUUGCUGGGAGAGGGAAUCCUCAAUCCAUUCCACUCCUACUAGUUUGAUGCCAGCACCAGCAAGAGAUUUCAAGAGCCUGGAGAGGGAUUGCAAAUCAGCAAGAGAGAAUCUGAAGUGCUGCACAAAGGAAUUCCAGCCAUUCCUGCCAGUAAGUCUGCUCCAUCAGGGGCCCAACUUACAUGCCUUUAUGCAAAUGCACGUAGCACGGGGGAUAAAGAAGAGCAGUGCAAGGCUGUGAUCUUACCAGCAUCAGGUAUGUUGCAGGAUGCUCCUGUGACUGGAGCGUUGGAGUGGGAGGAUACAGGCUCUUUAGGAAGGACAGGCAGGGAACAGGAGAAAGGGGUGUUGCCCUCCAUGUCCACGACCACCUGGAGUGUUUGGAGCUGUGCUUGGGGAUGGAUGAGAAGCUUAUGGGUCACGAUUAAAGGGAGGGCAAGGACAGGUGACAUUAUAGUGGGGGUCUAAGGCCACCCAACCAGGAAGACCAAGCAGAUGAGACCCUCUACAGACAGAUAGGAGCUGCCUCACAUUCACAAGCCCUGGUCCUCAUGGGGGACUUCAACUUCCUCAAUACCCAUUGAGGGGACAACACAGCAGGGCAGGAGGUUCUUGGAAUGCGUGGGUAACUUGCUUCUCCAAGUGACAGAGGAGUAAAUGAGGAGAGUUGCUAUGCUGGACCAUUUUCUUUCCAACAAGGAGAGGCUGGUGGGGAAUGUGAAUCUCAAGGGCAGCCUUGGCUGCAGUGACCAGGAAAUGGUGGAUUCAGGAUCCUCAGGCCAGCGAGGAGGCACACAGGAAGCUCACUAACCUGGACAUCAGGAGGGCACACCUUAGCCUCUUCAGGGAUCUUCGGGAUAGAGUACCAUGGGAUAAAGCCCUGGAGGGAAGAGUGACCCAAGAAAGCUGGUUAAUAUUCAAGGAUCACCUCUUGCAAGGUCAGGAGUGACGCAACAAAGAGGAAAGUCUGGUAAAAACAUCAGGAGACCUGCAUGGAUGAACAAGGAGCUCCUGGACAAACUCAAACAGAAAAAGGAAGCCUAUGCUUCCGCCACAGAAAAAGGGUGAAAGCAAGGACAGAUAGCCUGAGAGGAAUACAGAGAUAUUGUCCAAGCAGCCAGGGAUUAGGUUAGGAAAGCUAAAGCCCUGAUAAGAAUUCCAUCUGGACAGCGACAUCAAGGGCAACAAAGCAAGCUUCUACAGGUACAUUGGUGAAAAUGUGAGCCCUCUCCAGAGAGGAAUGGGAGACUUGGUUACCUGGGACAUGGAGAAGGCUGAGGUACUCAAUGACAUUUUUGCCUUGGUCUUCACCAGCAAGUUCUUCAGCCACUGAGGCCCGAGUUUGCACGAGCCCCUUUGCUGAGGUGGCAAAGGCAGAGAUUGUGAGAAUAAAGAACCACCCACCACAGGGGAAGAUCAGGUGUGGAACCACCUAAGGAACCUGAGGGUGAACAAGUCCAUGGAACCUGAUGACAAAAUGUGGAAAAGAAGGUGACUGGUGACAGCCAACAUGGCAUCACUAAGGGCAAACCCUACAAAUAUCCUUCUAUGACAGGGUUACAGCAUUGGUGGAUAAGAGAAGAGUGAUUGAUGCCAUCUACCUGGACUUGUACAGAGCAAUCGACACUGUCUUACGUGACAUCCUUGUCUUGAAACUGGAGAGGCAUGGAUUUGAUGGAUGGGCCAUGUGGUGGAUGAGGAAUUGGCUGGAUGGUCACACUCACAGUUGCUGUCAACAGUUCAGUGUCCAAGUGGAGACCAGUGGCGAGUGCUGUUCCUCAGAGGUCGGUAUUGGGACUGGCACUGUUUGACAUCUUUGUUGGCGACAUCAACAGCAGGAUUGAGGGCACCCUCAGCAAGUUUUUCAAUGGCACCGAGCCGUGUGGUGCAGCUGACACACCAGAGAGAGGGGAUGCCAUCCACAGGGACUUUGACAGGCUUGAGAGGUGGGCCCCUGCAAACCUCGUGAAGUCCAACAAGGCUAAGAUAAGGUCCUGCACCUGGGUCAGGGCAAUCUCAAGCACAAACACAGGCUGGGUGGAGAAUGGACUGAGAGCAGCCCUGGGGAAAAGGACUUGGGGGUGUUGAUUGAUGAGAUGCUCAACAUGAUCAGGCAGUAUGUUUUUACAGCCCAACAAGCCAACUGUAUCCCAGGCUACCUCAAAACCAGCGUGGGCAGCAGGUCAAGGAGGGAGAUGGGAUGUUUCUCCCAUCUACUCUAUUUUUGUGAGACCCCACCCAAUGUGCUGCAUCAGCUCUGGGGUCCCCAGCAUAAGGAGUUCAUGGACCUGUUGGACUGAGUCCAGAUGAGCGUCACAAAGACCACCAGAGGGCAGAGCAUCUCUCCUAUGAAGACAGGCUGAGAGAGUUUGGGCUGUUCAGCCUGGAGAAGGGAAGGCUCUGGGGAGAC
Molecule: long non-coding RNA, 4852 nt
Organism: Corvus hawaiiensis (hawaiian crow)
Lineage: Eukaryota; Metazoa; Chordata; Aves; Passeriformes; Corvidae
Exons: 4
Source: RefSeq, a predicted model, not a curated record